GAAAUACCGAGAAAGCCCCUGGCCCGGGCCGUUGCUGCUUCCCCCAUCUGCGUCGUCUCCUCCGUCGAACUCCUCAGAACAGAAACCCGCAUUUCCAGGUUAGGGUUGUCUCCAUCACAGUCGCAGAGAGAGAGAGAGAAAGCUAGAGAGAGAGAGAGAGAGAGAGAGGAGAGAGAGUGGCCUCUUUUUGAACCAGAACGGCUUCUUCUUCCAUAGAGGGAGAGGGAGGGGGGCGAAAUGGAGGAGGAGGAGGGCGUGGAGAUGGAGAUGGAGGUGGAGAUGGCGGAGGAGGAGGAGGGGGAGGUGUUCGUGGUGCGCGAGAUCGACCCCGACUACGAGUACGAUGCCCCCCAGCACUUCGACUUCUCCCGCGAGGAGUCCGCGGCGGAGGCGCGCGACGCCGAGCUCUGGUUCGAGUCCGCCGGGAGCUACCCGCCUUCCCCUUUUGUGGUGAAAUUGAUUCUGAGAGAUGAAAUCCUGUCAAAGAAUGUGAACAUCUCUCCGAAAUCCAAAAUGAUGGAGACUGAUUCUCAUGUCCGAUUCGGCGAAAUUGAUGCUGGCACUGAAGAACUCGAAGCUGUUCAACCAAAUAGCAAAGAUUGCGAUGCGAUGGCUAAAGGAAAAGGAAUAUUCACCAAGUUUCAGAUUGAAAAUCUACAGAAACCUGAGAGGCAGCCGCUAGGAUUUUCUGAAGGACUGAGAUCUUAUAAUCACAUAUCAUGCAACACGAUAAAAGCUAAAUCCAGGACAUCAGUCAAGCCUUGUCUACCAAGGAGCUCAACAUUAAUGAAGCCAACUGCAAGUAUGUUGGCCAAGCAAAAUCAGCCAUCUCAAGUUGCGAGCUCCAGAUUUCAGGUGCAAACAAGUCAGAUCAGUGGGAAGAGCUUGGGUGGUUCUUCUGCUGGUGAGGGUCAAGCAACUAAGAGACAGAAGUUAGAUGGGGGUCAUUCGCGGAAGGUUGGUGAAGUAAAGCAGCAGACUGAUUUUGUCCACAAGGCACCUAAAAAGGAUGCAAUAGUCGAGAAGAACCCUCAUUCAAAGCUGAGGCUUACCAUUCCUCGGGAGCCGGAGCUUGAAACAGCUCAAAGGGCACAAAGGGCGAGGCCAAGAAACACAAGUGAUGAGGAACAAUCAACAGUGACUGUACGCAAAUUCAAAGCAAGACCUUUGAAUAGAAAAAUUUUCGAGGCUCCUUCUCUGCCACUUCCAAAAAAGAGCAUUCCGAGAAUGCCGGAGUUUCAAGUUUUCCACCUGAAGACCCUGGAAAGAGCUAUGGAGCAUAAUUUAGGUGCUACAUCGUCCUUGUUGCAUGAAUCUGAUAAGGAAUUGCUGAAAUCCUGUCCAGUUGCAGAAAAAGAACCCAGGAGUCCUCGAAGAACCACUGGUGUGGAUGCUUCCAGGCUGGAUGGAACCUGCUCAAUGUAUGCUUUUAAGGCUCAUCCGCUCAAUAAAAAGAUUCUUUCAAGUAAAGGAGACAUUGGGGUCUUCAGAAAUAAAAAGCGGGAAGCAACGGUGCCUAUGGAAUUUAAGUUCAAUAAUGAGAAAAGGAUUCAGCAUAAUCCGCCGACGGAACUUUUUAGCAAGCUGUCCCUAAAACCUGAACUCCAGCCCAGUAAUGGAUCUUAUUCUCAGCGAAAAUCAUGUCAGCCCCCCCGUGUCUCCAUGAAGAAAAUAGAUUCCAUACUCUACAGCAAAACCUUGAGGUGACAAAUUUGGUGAAGGAGAGAACUCCCUUUGGGGAAAAGCAAUCCCAAUAUGGAAAUGGAAUUGCCACUACUGAAGCAGGCACCAGAUUUAGUGCGAGGAGUUUGGGCAUUCGCUGAUGGCUGAGAGGAUGUUGCCACAUUGGUUAUUUGUUGAUUCUUGCGCCGUUGAAGGAUGGUUACAUAUUGGUCCAUGUUAAUGCUCAUCUUCAUUAUUCAACUCCCAUAGGAAGUUUACUCACGAUACAGCUGACCUCGACAUCAAAGAGAUGCACUCCCAAAAAUUGAGCUAACCCCUGUUUUACCUGAAGUAAGCCUGAGUCAGCCAUACCCGAAAUAAACACAGCAGCAGGUACUGACUGUACAGAAUUUCAUAAAAACCUUCUCACAGUCUGAACCAUCCUUGUCCACACUGUCCUGUGGCAGUUGUUAUUACCCAUCUUGGGCUACUAGAUUUGUGAGAAGCAUGUACAAAACAUCAUCAUAUUGAGGGUGAUGAUCAAGUAUAUUACAGGAUACUUUCUAGA
Molecule: RNA transcript, 2230 nt
Organism: Syzygium oleosum
Lineage: Eukaryota; Viridiplantae; Streptophyta; Magnoliopsida; Myrtales; Myrtaceae
Gene name: protein TPX2
Exons: 18
Source: RefSeq, a predicted model, not a curated record